GGGGGCGUACGGACUCGACGGGGCCAAAAGGCUCCUGAAAGUGCAUGCAGGGCGCAGGACCCUUAAACCUGCAGAAAUAACUGCCAACACAAAUUACGCACUGGCUGCUUAAUAAAUGAGCAGCCCGUCCCCCGAAAGGCUCCAUCCACUUUCGGGUAGGGCGUCAUAGAGGAUGGAAGCCCUCUGUGUGGCAUCCUGACUGUCACAGAGAGGGUAAAAGGAAGUCAGGCUCUGACCUCUGGGACCUGCCCAUGGGUCUGGGUCAGAGUAUAAACAUGGGCUAAGCAUGUAGGGCUUUCAGGAGCCGGGCAACCGGACGCGGGUUCGAUUCCCGCCGCCUCCACCA
This 346-nucleotide small RNA is filed under the name marine eukaryotic metagenome. Its description in RNAcentral is "transfer-messenger RNA". It matches the Rfam family "transfer-messenger RNA". Rfam says of the family: Bacterial tmRNA, also known as 10Sa RNA or SsrA, is named for its dual tRNA and mRNA-like properties. Its role is to liberate the mRNA from a stalled ribosome. The record is from RNAcentral.